AUUGGGUUUCUAAAAGGCCGCGGUAUUAUGACCGUGCAAAGGUAGCAUAAUCAUUAGUCUUUUAAUUGAAGGCUAGAAUGAAUGGUUGGACAAGAAAUAAUCUGUCUUAAAUUAAAAUAUUGAAUUUAACUUUUAAGUGAAAAGGCUUAAAUUAUCUAGAGUGACGAUAAGACCCUAUAAAACUUUAUAUUUUAAAAUAAUAGUUAGUUUUAUUUAAGAGUUUUAUUUUGAAAUAUUUUAUUGGGGUGAUAAAGAUACAAAUUAAAAUAACUGUCUUUUUUUUUUACAAUAAUCUUUGAAUUAAUGAUCCUAAGAAAGGAGUAAAAGAUCAAGUUACUUUAGGGAUAACAGCGUAAUUUUUUUUAAGAGUUCAUAUCGACAAAAAAGUUUGCGACCUCGAUGUUGAAUUAAAAGAUCUUUAUAGAGCAGAAACUAUAAGAGAAGGUCUGUUCGACCCUUUAAAAUUUUACAUGAUUUGAGUUCAGACCGGCGAAAG
RNAcentral lists this ribosomal RNA (496 nucleotides) under Pacifastacus leniusculus (signal crayfish). Its description in RNAcentral is "partial 16S ribosomal RNA". It matches the Rfam family "Bacterial large subunit ribosomal RNA", at positions 1914 to 2625 of the family's 2925-position model. The record is from RNAcentral. Lineage: Eukaryota; Metazoa; Arthropoda; Malacostraca; Decapoda; Astacidae.